GGUCGAAGUGGCGAGUUCGAUUCCCGCGUGGUGCGGAGUAACCCCGAGUAAAGAGCGAACCGGGACGAGCAAGACGGGUGAGUGGGAAUGGACCUUCCAAAGGAAGUCAUUUGAGAUAAAAGCUGGACUAUUGACCUUCACUUCUUAGAACAAUACGAUAAGCCUGACUCCUGGUGGUCUUUUGGGACUUCCAAUAAAUGGACAAAGACCAUGAGUAAGACUGGGCAUUAAGUCACCCUUAGCUAUAUUGAUGUUGAAGUAUUAUUUCCUCACUUAUUCUGACACCAUCCAAGGGAAGCCCUGAAUUGUACAAAGUCCCAAUAAGACCAGCCUGGCAGCAGCUGGAAACAGACUGUAGAAGCAGGGAAGGGAUCAGCGAUGGAAGCAGCCAAUGUUAUGCUGAUAUAUUUUCCUGAUAAUUCCUCGAUGGAGGAGUACUUUGAAUUAACAUUAGUAAAAGACCCAACAACAAACCCCAGAUCCAACAGCGCAUGCACCUUGCAUGAGCAAAAAGGCAGUGUUGCUUGCACUGCAACACUGCAACCACCAUCUUAUCUUUUUUUUAGAUUUUUUUUAAUCCCACCUUUAUUAUUUGUGUAAAUAACUCAAGGCAGCAAACACACACAAAAUUCUUUCCUCCUUUUAUUUUCCCCACAACAGUAACCCUGUGAUGUGAGUUGACCCGAGAGAGUGAGAAGCCCAAAGUCACCAGCCUGGUGCUUUAACCACUAGACUGAACUGACCAAACCCUGUUCCUUGAGGUGCUGUUGCCUGGAUCUGGAAUUUGAUGGAUACCAGUGUCAAAAUCACCAAUAUUUCCAGCCCCUGGUUAAAAUGAUUUUUUAUUUAAAAUAA
Molecule: non-coding RNA, 855 nt
Organism: Pseudonaja textilis
Lineage: Eukaryota; Metazoa; Chordata; Lepidosauria; Squamata; Elapidae
Source: RefSeq, a predicted model, not a curated record